RNAcentral lists this ribosomal RNA (444 nucleotides) under Wolinella sp. canine oral taxon 173. RNAcentral describes it as "bacterial SSU rRNA". It matches the Rfam family "Bacterial small subunit ribosomal RNA", at positions 9 to 463 of the family's 1533-position model. The record is from RNAcentral. Lineage: Bacteria; Pseudomonadati; Campylobacterota; Epsilonproteobacteria; Campylobacterales; Helicobacteraceae.
GAGUUUGAUUCUGGCUCAGAGUGAACGCUGGCGGCGUGCCUAAUACAUGCAAGUCGAACGGUAACAGGAAGUAGCUUGCUACUUUGCUGACGAGUGGCGCACGGGUGAGUAAUGCAUAGGUUAUGUGCCCCAUAGUCUGGAAUAGCCACUGGAAACGGUGAUUAAUACCGGAUACUCCCGAGAGGGGAAAGUUUUUCGCUAUGGGAUCAGCCUAUGUCCUAUCAGCUUGUUGGUGAGGUAAUGGCUCACCAAGGCUAUGACGGGUAUCCGGCCUGAGAGGGUGAACGGACACACUGGAACUGAGACACGGUCCAGACUCCUACGGGAGGCAGCAGUAGGGAAUAUUGCUCAAUGGGCGAAAGCCUGAAGCAGCAACGCCGCGUGGAGGAUGAAGGUCUUCGGAUUGUAAACUCCUUUUCUAAGAGAAGAUUAUGACGNNUCUAG